GACGAACGCUGGCGGCGUGCUUAACACAUGCAAGUCGAACGGAAAGGCCCUGCUUUUGUGGGGUGCUCGAGUGGCGAACGGGUGAGUAACACGUGAGUAACCUGCCCUUGACUUUGGGAUAACUUCAGGAAACUGGGGCUAAUACCGGAUAGGAGCUCCUGCUGCAUGGUGGGGGUUGGAAAGUUUCGGCGGGUGGGGAUGGACUCGCGGCUUAUCAGCUUGUUGGUGGGGUAGUGGCUUACCAAGGCUUUGACGGGUAGCCGGCCUGAGAGGGUGACCGGCCACAUUGGGACUGAGAUACGGCCCAGACUCCUACGGGAGGCAGCAGUGGGGAAUAUUGCACAAUGGGCGGAAGCCUGAUGCAGCAACGCCGCGUGCGGGAUGACGGCCUUCGGGUUGUAAACCGCUUUCGCCUGUGACGAAGCGUGAGUGACGGUAAUGGAUAAAGAAGCACCGGCUAACUACGUG
This 468-nucleotide ribosomal RNA is filed under the name uncultured bacterium. Its description in RNAcentral is "partial 16S ribosomal RNA". It matches the Rfam family "Bacterial small subunit ribosomal RNA", at positions 28 to 507 of the family's 1533-position model. The record is from RNAcentral.